CAAAAGCGUAUAUUAAAGUUGUUGCAGUUAAAAAGCUCGUAGUUGAACCUUGGGCUUGGCUGGCCGGUCCAUCUUUUUUGAUGCGUACUGGACCCAGCCGAGCCUUUCCUUCUGGCUAGCCUUUUGGCGAACCAGGACUUUUACUUUGAAAAAAUUAGAGUGUUCAAAGCAGGCCUUUGCUCGAAUAUAUUAGCAUGGAAUAAUAGAAUAGGACGUUAUGGUUCUAUUUUGUUGGUUUCUAGGACCAUCGUAAUGAUUAAUAGGGACGGUCGGGGGUAUCGGUAUUCAGUUGUCAGAGGUGAAAUUCUUGGAUUUACUGAAGACUAACUACUGCGAAAGCAUUUACCAAGGACGUUUUCAUUAA
RNAcentral lists this ribosomal RNA (364 nucleotides) under uncultured eukaryote. RNAcentral's name for it is "partial 18S ribosomal RNA". It matches the Rfam family "Eukaryotic small subunit ribosomal RNA", at positions 592 to 976 of the family's 1831-position model. The record is from RNAcentral.